ACUUUUCCCUCAGGUUUCGUUUUUAGGUGGGGAGUAACCGCUAAAUUCUCACGCAUAAGCAGACAUGGAUAGGUUACUCCGAGCCCCGUUCUUGCUCUUCCUUAUCUUGCUCAUUACCUUGCGUGUAAAUUGAACAGGACCUGUCUACCUGGUGGGAAAUUCUGCUUAUGGUCUGGCCGGUAGGCGUAAUGGUUCCGGCAGCUCAAUCGCACGGCUCUGAACCUUCAAAUACCGCCGUUGUGCAGGCUCGUCCCGCCCCCCCUCAUUCCCACCCACACACCUGUGCACCAAAGGGACGGCGGGUGGAUAACGCACGCCGUCUCGCUUUAACAAGCUCAAAAGUCUAUUUUGAAUGUCAUUUAUUCGGGCUAGCCCCGAUGUAACUUAAACAUAACAACUUUCAACAACGGAUCUCUUGGCUCUCGCAUCGAUGAAGAACGCAGCGAAAUGCGAUAAGUAAUGUGAAUUGCAGAAUUCAGUGAAUCAUCGAAUCUUUGAACGCACCUUGCGCCCAUUGGUAUUCCGAUGGGCAUGCCUGUUUGAGUGUCUUGAAAUCAUCAAGCCCGUUCGGUUUCACCGCCGAGCGGGGUUGGACUUGGGGGCUUGCCGCUUCGCCGCGGCUCCCCUUAAAUGCAUCGGUUUCGGGUCUCUGUGGGAGUCACCCCUUGGGCGUUGUAUAACCCUCGCUGUCUGGGAACUCCACGCGACGUUCGCGUCGUUGAAGGGCCUUGAAGAAACCUCGACCUGCUGUAGAGUGGCGGUCAAUGUUAAUAUCGAGAUCUGACCUCAAAUCAGGUAGGACUACCCGCUGAACUUAAGCAUAUCAAUAAGCGGAGGA
RNAcentral lists this ribosomal RNA (838 nucleotides) under uncultured Basidiomycota. RNAcentral's name for it is "eukaryotic LSU rRNA". The stretch from base 396 to 549 matches the Rfam family "5.8S ribosomal RNA". Lineage: Eukaryota; Fungi; Basidiomycota. The record is from RNAcentral.